ACAAUUUAUCGCAUGAGACAGAUCAUUUUAAUUUUAGCCUCAUUUUACAUCAAAUUUGAUUCAGAAAUGAAAGGGUUACUCUCUUAUAAUAAUGAAAAUAUUUUUUUCUUUAGAGAGGGUUGGCUGCCUGACUCAUUGGUUAGGAUUUCAUAACCUGGACAGAAGACCUGAAGCCCCCACCGCUGUGUAUGUUUGUUUAGGAAGUGGCAGGUGAAUUAACCGAUCUCAUUUUAAUUUAUAGUGGGUGGGACCAAAAAAAAAGAAAAAAGAAAAAAGAGAAAUGGUCGUCAGCUCCUCGAAUAGGUGUGCUCGCUGGCUUCACUCAAUCCUCCCGGGGUGAAAACUCAACCCGGAACUUGAAAAAAAAAAAAAAAUGUUUUCAUGUUGGAGGAAGUGAAGAAGAUCAAGUUGCCGACUGUCUGAAAUGGACUGCACAUGACGAUAUUCACAACGUGGAAUGGUUUCAUGAAAAAACCCUUGUGGACCCUUAUGGACUAAAGGAAUAUAAAUAAUAGAGUAAUAGACAAACAAUCAGUGUCCACGAUUGUUUCAAAGCUGCAGCCAGGGCCUCAUGCAAAGUUACUCCAGCUGCCACCACAGUCACUUGGUCAUCCUUGCCCUGGUACACCACCUGGAAAACAGAAAAGGGGCGCAGGGUCACUUUGGCCCAGGCGGUUGAUGUCCAAGAUGGCCACCAGGUUGUCAAGCUGAUAGUAGGAGGCAAACGACAU
Seriola aureovittata is the source of this 731-nucleotide long non-coding RNA. RefSeq lists it as uncharacterized. NCBI's taxonomy places the organism in Eukaryota, Metazoa, Chordata, Actinopteri, Carangiformes, Carangidae. The record is from RefSeq and is a predicted model, not a curated record. The transcript is spliced from 3 exons.